This 510-nucleotide ribosomal RNA is filed under the name uncultured bacterium. RNAcentral describes it as "bacterial SSU rRNA". It matches the Rfam family "Bacterial small subunit ribosomal RNA", at positions 8 to 518 of the family's 1533-position model. The record is from RNAcentral.
AGGGUUCGAUUCUGGCUCAGAUUGAACGCUGGCGGCAGGCUUAACACAUGCAAGUCGAACGAUGAAAUCUAGCUUGCUAGAUGGAUUAGUGGCGAACGGGUGAGUAAUGCUUAGGAAUCUGCCUAUUAGUGGGGGAUAACUAUCCGAAAGGAUAGCUAAUACCGCAUACGUCCUACGGGAGAAAGGGGGCUUUUAGCUCUCGCUAAUAGAUGAGCCUAAGUCGGAUUAGCUGGUUGGUGGGGUAAAGGCCUACCAAGGCGACGAUCUGUAGCUGGUCUGAGAGGAUGAUCAGCCACACUGGGACUGAGACACGGCCCAGACUCCUACGGGAGGCAGCAGUGGGGAAUAUUGGACAAUGGGCGAAAGCCUGAUCCAGCCAUGCCGCGUGUGUGAAGAAGGCCUUUUGGUUGUAAAGCACUUUAAGUGGGGAGGAAAAGCUUGUGGUUAAUACCCAUAAGCCCUGACGUUACCCACAGAAUAAGCACCGGCUAACUCUGUGCCAGCCGCUGC